GCCCAGCUUGCUGGGUUGGAUGAGUGGCGAACGGGUGAGUAACAUGUGAGUAACCUGCCCCCUUCUUUGGGAUAACGGUCGGAAACGGCUGCUAAUACCGGGUAUUCACUGUCCUUCGCAUGGGGGGUGGUGGAAAGGUUUUUUCUGGUGGGGGAUGGGCUCGCGGCCUAUCAGCUUGUUGGUGGGGUGAUGGCUUACCAAGGCUUUGACGGGUAACCGGCCUGAGAGGGUGACCGGUCACAUUGGGACUGAGAUACGGCCCAGACUCCUACGGGAGGCAGCAGUGGGGAAUAUUGCACAAUGGGCGAAAGCCUGAUGCAGCGACGCCGCGUGAGGGAUGACGGCCUUCGGGUUGUAAACCUCUUUCGCUCAUGGUCAAGCCGCAACAGUGGUUGUGGUGAGGGUAGUGGGUAAAGAAGCACCGGCUAACUACGUGCCAGCAGCCGCGGUAAUACGUAGGGUGCGAGCGUUGUCCGGAAUUAUUGGGCGUAAAGGGCUUGUAGGCGGUUUGUCGCGUCUGCCGUGAA
RNAcentral lists this ribosomal RNA (527 nucleotides) under uncultured Actinomycetes bacterium. Its description in RNAcentral is "bacterial SSU rRNA". It matches the Rfam family "Bacterial small subunit ribosomal RNA", at positions 73 to 598 of the family's 1533-position model. Lineage: Bacteria; Bacillati; Actinomycetota; Actinomycetes. The record is from RNAcentral.